AGGGCAGCCAAGUCGUGAGGCGGAGCUAAUCCCUUAAAGCCAUUCUCAGUUCGGAUUGUAGGCUGAAACUCGCCUACAUGAAGCUGGAAUCGCUAGUAAUCGCGAAUCAGAAUGUCGCGGUGAAUACGUUCCCGGGUCUUGUACACACCGCCCGUCACACCAUGGGAGUCGGAAAUGCCCGAAGUCAGUGACCCAACCGAGAGGAGGGAGCUGCCGAAGGUGGAGCCGGUAACUGGGGUGAAGUCGUAACAAGGUAGC
RNAcentral lists this ribosomal RNA (258 nucleotides) under uncultured bacterium. RNAcentral describes it as "partial 16S ribosomal RNA". It matches the Rfam family "Bacterial small subunit ribosomal RNA", at positions 1243 to 1500 of the family's 1533-position model. The record is from RNAcentral.